RNAcentral lists this ribosomal RNA (368 nucleotides) under uncultured bacterium. RNAcentral describes it as "bacterial SSU rRNA". It matches the Rfam family "Bacterial small subunit ribosomal RNA", at positions 917 to 1289 of the family's 1533-position model. The record is from RNAcentral.
GGGCCCGCACAAGCGGUGGAGUAUGUGGUUUAAUUCGAUGCAACGCGAAGAACCUUACCAGGGCUUGACAUCCUGCGAAUCUCUGGGAAACCGGAGAGUGCCUUCGGGAACGCAGUGACAGGUGGUGCAUGGCUGUCGUCAGCUCGUGUCGUGAGAUGUUGGGUUAAGUCCCGCAACGAGCGCAACCCACGUCUUUAGUUGCCAGCAUUUAGUUGGGCACUCUAGAGAGACCGCCGGUGAUAAACCGGAGAAGGUGUGGAUGACGUCAAAUCAUCACGGCCCUUACGUCUGGGCUACACACGUGCUACAAUGGUCGGUACAGAGAGCAGCCACUACGCGAGUAGGAGCAAAUCUUCAAAGCCGAUCUC